AAAUUAAUUCGUCCUCUCAUAUAUCUUCGAUAAUAUGGUUCGAAAGUUUCUACGGGAUAACCGGAAAUUAUCCCGCUAUGAGUUGAAUG
This 89-nucleotide non-coding RNA is filed under the name uncultured Sedimentibacter sp. RNAcentral describes it as "Purine riboswitch". The stretch from base 16 to 82 matches the Rfam family "Purine riboswitch aptamer", at positions 20 to 86 of the family's 102-position model. Rfam says of the family: Riboswitches are metabolite binding domains within certain messenger RNAs that serve as precision sensors for their corresponding targets. Allosteric rearrangement of mRNA structure is mediated by ligand binding, and this results in modulation of gene expression. The record is from RNAcentral. Lineage: Bacteria; Bacillati; Bacillota; Tissierellia.